Molecule: ribosomal RNA, 274 nt
Filed under: Enterobacter hormaechei
Lineage: Bacteria; Pseudomonadati; Pseudomonadota; Gammaproteobacteria; Enterobacterales; Enterobacteriaceae
Description: partial 23S ribosomal RNA
Rfam family: Bacterial large subunit ribosomal RNA
Source: RNAcentral
AAAGAAAGCGUAAUAGCUCACUGGUCGAGUCGGCCUGCGCGGAAGAUGUAACGGGGCUAAACCAUGCACCGAAGCUGCGGCAGCGACGCUUAGGCGUUGUUGGGUAGGGGAGCGUUCUGUAAGCCGUUGAAGGUGUCCUGUGAGGGGUGCUGGAGGUAUCAGAAGUGCGAAUGCUGACAUAAGUAACGAUAAAGCGGGUGAAAAGCCCGCUCGCCGGAAGACCAAGGGUUCCUGUCCAACGUUAAUCGGGGCAGGGUGAGUCGACCCCUAAGGC